This 497-nucleotide ribosomal RNA is filed under the name uncultured bacterium. Its description in RNAcentral is "partial 16S ribosomal RNA". It matches the Rfam family "Bacterial small subunit ribosomal RNA", at positions 30 to 523 of the family's 1533-position model. The record is from RNAcentral.
AUUGAACGCUGGCGGCAUGCCUUACACAUGCAAGUCGAACGCGAAAGGGGGCAACCCUGAGUAGAGUGGCGCACGGGUGAGCAAUACAUCGGAACAUACCCAGUAGUGGGGGACAACCAGUCGAAAGACUGGCUAAUACCGCAUACGACCUACGGGUGAAAGCGGGGGACCGUAAGGCCUCGCGCUAUUGGAUUGGCCGAUGUCUGAUUAGCUAGUUGGUGAGGUAACGGCUCACCAAGGCGACGAUCAGUAGCUGGUCUGAGAGGAUGAUCAGCCACACUGGGACUGAGACACGGCCCAGACUCCUACGGGAGGCAGCAGUGGGGAAUUUUGGACAAUGGGGGCAACCCUGAUCCAGCAAUGCCGCGUGAGUGAAGAAGGCCUUCGGGUUGUAAAGCUCUUUCGGCCGGGACGAAAUCGCUCUGGUGAAUAUCCAGGGUGGAUGACGGUACCGGAAUAAGAAGCACCGGCUAACUACGUGCCAGCAGCCGCCGUAA